CCAAGUGAUCUAUUAUACUUUGUUUCAUCUUUGACAUUGACACCUGUAGUUGUUUUGCAGCCAACUGCUGUGGUGCUUUUCAUGACACCAUAAUUGAAGGUAAUAUACAUGUGGAAGUUAGUGGCAACAACAUCUCCCAUAUCACAUGCUGUUCUUACAUUGCAACUUUGACACUCCUGCUAUUAACAGUAUUUUACCCAAUGAUGUCAUCAGAGACCCAGUUCUUUCCAUUUCUCAGUUUGGACAUGCCCAUGGUUGCCUUCAUCUUCAAGCAGAAAGUGAGGUGGUUACAACAGUUUCCAAAAUCGAACUGACACCAAUUAAUACCCUGAAGAAGAAUGAAGCUGUCUUCUUUUCCCCGCUAAAAAACAGUCAAGGCUCUCCUCCCAUGUCAUUUGUCCUAACUGGCUAACAUUUGUCAUUCCCUGAAUCAAUCAUAGACAAAUAAAAUGGAGAUACCAUUAUUGGCUUAAAUUAAGGAUCUUCAGACAGAAUGGAUGUUGAAAAAAGCCACUAAAUCUGCCAUAUCUAUAAAAAAAAUUAACAUUUCAGGACAAUUUCCACCUCAACUCUUCACUAGCUUUCUUAGCUAUUCUCAUGUUUAUAUUUCCCUAUACACUUUAGGAUAAGAUUCUUAAAUUUUUAAAAGAUCUUAUUUUGCUUUUGUAUGGAAUACUACUACAUGUACUAUAAUAUUCAGACAGUUGACAUCUUUAAAAUAUUGAGACAUUCAAUCCAGGAAGAAAAUAGGCUUUAUCCUUUAUUCUGGUUUUAUAAUUUAUCUUUUACUAGAAUUUUAAUAUUUUCUUUAUAUAGACUGUUAAUUUUCAUGUUACAAAGGUUUUAAUAUUUUUGUUAUUAUUAUAAACAGGAUAUUCCUCCAUCACAUAAUGUUAUUUACUAUUUGCAUAUAUAAUAACUAUUGCUUUUUUUUUUUUUUUUUUUUGAGAUGGAGUCUCACUCUUUCGACCAGGCUGGAGUGCAAUGGCACGAUCUCAGCUCACUACAACCUCGCCUCCCAGUUUCAAGCCAUUCUCCUGCCUUGGCCUUCUGAGUAGCUGGGAUUUUAACCGCAUGCCACCACGCCCAGCUAAUUUUUGUAUUUUUAAUAGAGAUGGGAUUUCACUAUGUUGGCCAGGCUGGACACGAACUCCUGACCUCAAGUGAUCCACCUGCCUUGACUUCCCAAAGUGCUUGGAUUACAGGCAUUAGCCACCAUGCCCAGCCAUCUAUUGUUUUUUAAAAAUUAAUUUUGAAAUCAGCUAUUUUACUCCAUUAUCUUGUCUUUUAUAGAUUCUUAGACAUUUCUUUUAAAUUUUCUGGGUAUAAAAUCAUAUUAUCUGCAAAUAAUUUUAAUUAUAUCAUCACAUUUUUACCUUUUAUAUUAUCCUUCUCUUUUCUAAUUAAAUUUAACAUUCUACCAGAGCAACAUUAAAUAUACUAGUAAUAUUUAUUGGAUGCUUCUGGUAUUUUACAGUUAAACACAUGAUUCCAUAUUUGUUA
RNAcentral lists this long non-coding RNA (1503 nucleotides) under Homo sapiens (human). RNAcentral's name for it is "HSALNT0062337". The record is from RNAcentral. Lineage: Eukaryota; Metazoa; Chordata; Mammalia; Primates; Hominidae.